GGUUGUGGCUCAGAGGUAGAGCAUUCCCUUAGCAUGCAUGAGGCCCUGGGUUCGAUCCUCAGCACCA
This 67-nucleotide transfer RNA is filed under the name Marmota monax (woodchuck). RNAcentral's name for it is "tRNA.Ala". The record is from RNAcentral. Lineage: Eukaryota; Metazoa; Chordata; Mammalia; Rodentia; Sciuridae.